UGGGUGCGUAACUCAGUUGGAUAGAGUAGCUGCCUUCUAAGCAGCGAGCCGCAGGUUCAAGUCCUGCCGUACCCGU
This 76-nucleotide transfer RNA is filed under the name Microcoleus asticus IPMA8. Its description in RNAcentral is "tRNA-Arg". It matches the Rfam family "tRNA". From Rfam's summary of the family: Transfer RNA (tRNA) molecules are approximately 80 nucleotides in length. Lineage: Bacteria; Bacillati; Cyanobacteriota; Cyanophyceae; Oscillatoriales; Microcoleaceae. The record is from RNAcentral.